GGAGAAUGAUUCGGAAAGGGUUGUCGAUAUGGGAGAAGAGCAUGCAAAUGCUCAUGCUGGGUUUGAUUCUUCGAGUUGUCAGAUUGAUCUCUGGAAAUAGUGAUCAAAAAUAAGAAGAUGCAAGAUGAAUACACGUGAAAUAUACAUGCACACUAGUGCUGUGAAGAUGAUGAUGGUGGAGACCGGUUAAAAAUAAGUUGGAAGGAGAAAUAACAUGGAGUUAUUUCCCCGAUUUAUAGAGGUUUUGUACAUAAUAAAAACCUAAAUAAUAUGGUAUUUUCUCUCGAUGAUUCUUGCUUCAGUAUUGUAUUAUAUGUAUAUGAUAUAUGCACGCGUGAAUAUAUGUAUGCAGGCAUAUAUAUAUGCAUCUAUAUUUUAUCUAUGUUUGUAUGGAUCAUGAAUGUAUAUCCAUCCUUAAAUUUGUAUAAUAACCAUAUGAGUAAUGGUUUAAAUGUGAAACCAGUCCUUGAGGAAAGGAUAACUAAAGAAAAAACUCUAUAAAUUAAUAAACUUGAGACUAUAAUAAUGAUGUGAAUCCAGAAAGAAUAUUAGAAAAGUUUUGAUACUCCUAUCUAUUCACAAUUGGAUUACUAGUUACAUGUGCAUUACAAAGCCAAAUCAAAGAGAUAGUUAAGUCUUUCAAUUUAUUCGACAUUGCCAACCCAUUUCCUUAAUUAGAAAAGAAAAUAAAAAGCGCACAAGAACGUAUUUGAGAUAGACAUUUCUAACUUAUGAAAUAUAUAUAAGCCACACUGAGUUUAAUUUGAAUUAAUUACACAUUCUUAUAAAUUUUACCCAAAAUAUUCAUAACUAAUUUACCAACUGAGUUUAUUUUGGUUGGACUUACCACAUUUCAAUUGUUGUUGAUGAGAAACAACUUGCAAGAAGCUUGAGAGAGGGAAACCCAGAUAAUAUUAUGUAUGUAAAUGAGUGUGAAAGAUAAGUAAAGAUGCAUGGCUUAAAAAACCUCAAAGAAGUUGUAAAUUUU
Molecule: long non-coding RNA, 988 nt
Filed under: Brassica napus (rape)
Lineage: Eukaryota; Viridiplantae; Streptophyta; Magnoliopsida; Brassicales; Brassicaceae
Description: long non-coding RNA (BNAP_LNC027138)
Source: RNAcentral